RNAcentral lists this ribosomal RNA (253 nucleotides) under uncultured bacterium. RNAcentral's name for it is "partial 16S ribosomal RNA". It matches the Rfam family "Bacterial small subunit ribosomal RNA", at positions 524 to 776 of the family's 1533-position model. The record is from RNAcentral.
UACGAGAGCCUCAAGCGUUAUCCGGAAUUAUUGGGCGUAAAGGGUGCGUAGGUGGUUAUAUUAGUCGUAUGUUAAAGACUCGGGCUUAACCCGAGGAAUGCAUACGAAACGGUAUGACUAGAGAAUGUGAGAGGUGUAUGGAACUCAUGGUGUAGGGGUGAAAUCCGUUGAUAUCAUGGGGAACACCAAAAGCGAAGGCAGUACACUGGCACAUUUCUGACACUGAGGCACGAAACCGUGGGUAGCGAAUGGG